CAGCUAAACUCAGUUCUUCACGCUGGC
RNAcentral lists this non-coding RNA (27 nucleotides) under Mus musculus (house mouse). Lineage: Eukaryota; Metazoa; Chordata; Mammalia; Rodentia; Muridae. The record is from RNAcentral.